This 253-nucleotide ribosomal RNA is filed under the name uncultured bacterium. RNAcentral describes it as "partial 16S ribosomal RNA". It matches the Rfam family "Bacterial small subunit ribosomal RNA", at positions 524 to 776 of the family's 1533-position model. The record is from RNAcentral.
UACGUAGGUGACGAGCGUUGUCCGGAUUUACUGGGCGUAAAGAGCGCGCAGGCGGUCGUUCAAGUCGAGUGUGAAAGCCCCCGGCUCAACUGGGGAGGGUCACUCGAUACUGAUCGACUCGAAGGCAGGAGAGGGUAGUGGAAUUCCCGGUGUAGUGGUGAAAUGCGUAGAUAUCGGGAGGAACACCAGUGGCGAAGGCGACUACCUGGCCUGUUCUUGACGCUGAGGCGCGAAAGCUAGGGUAGCAAACGGG